AAUCGCUUCAAAUAAUUUAUUUCAAAGAUAUGAAUUUUCAUUAUUUUAUGGAUAACCGAUACUGGAUACCGGCCAAAUAACAUGUUUACAACUAGUGGAAUAAUUAAUACAUAGACCUGCCUCAAAUCACAAACAGACCUGACCUGCCUCACAUCACAAACAGACCUGAUACCUCAUUGGCAUGCGUUUGCUAACAACCACCGCCACCGCCGCCUCCACCUCCACCGCCACCACCGCCACCACCGCCACCACCGCCACCACCGCCACCUCCACCGCAACCACCGCCCCCUCCACCGCAACCCCCUCCAACAGUGCCAUGAUCUACACCGCCACCCGUGUAAAUGACCGGGUUACUCCGACGUCUUCUACCCUGGCCAGUGGAUCCAUGACCACCACAGGCAAAGAUGACCAUGGUUAUGACUGCGAUGGAUGCCGCAAUCAUGCAAAACAAUAACAGACCUGCUGGAAAUUGGCAAACACCAUCACCGCUGCUGGUGCCACCGGACAGAGCUUCUACCAUCCUCGUCAUCUCGAUCUUCCUCUACCUCUACUCUGAACAGCAAUUCUUAUAGGCCUCUGUGACCUCCAAGUCUUCCCGUGCCGUCUUAUACAAUACUUCCAGGAAGCAACACGUUGAAACUUCUGAUAGUUAAUAUCUGACCAUUUCUGCCUCUCCAUGUUAAGUUACCAGGGACCGCAUGUACAUCCAUGCUUUUCAAAAACUGAAACUAGUUUUUUAAUAGUUGCUUCAUAAAAAUGUCAAAUAAU
RNAcentral lists this long non-coding RNA (768 nucleotides) under Elaeis guineensis (African oil palm). RNAcentral describes it as "long non-coding RNA (EGUI_LNC018729)". Lineage: Eukaryota; Viridiplantae; Streptophyta; Magnoliopsida; Arecales; Arecaceae. The record is from RNAcentral.